GUAAAAGUUGUAUUGAACGGGCAACGUUAGUGACACUUUGAGGAUUCUACUCGGCUCUCUGGUGAGGAGUUGAGCUAGCCUCGUGUGAGCUAGCGGGUAGCUACUUUUGAAUUCGAGGCAUGGUGUUCUGCAGUUCUGUGUCGCCUUGGACGUCAAGAGUAAGUUAACUUAGCUAUCUGAUGGUUAAGUGUCUUCACGUUUCUUUAACAUCGUCGAUGUAACGUAGGUUGUCGGUUUCUGUGUUGAAGGAGCCAACAUUAGCUUACUUUACCACAUGUUAGCUCAGGCAAUGUGUAGCUAACUUUCGUAUUAUAGGUUCAUUACUGUGGCAGGUGGGUUAAGACACCUGAGGGGUCACGUGCUACACACUGCAUCUAAUAACGACCAUUUUAUUGAAGUGCUUUGAAACUGGUUCCACGCAGACAUGUAUAGACAAGCUCACAUAUACCGGAGCGGUCAGUCCGGACAGUCACGUGACCAGACACGUUAUUGUACAGGUCUGUUCACGUGACGUCGGGACUCUGUUCACGUGACCGCUAUAAACUGCGCUGUGGCAUAUGCUGUCGAGACUGCUGUUAAUGUGACGCUCUUAACGUGAUGCUGUUGACGUGGUCGGGACUCUGUUCACGUGACUGUUGUGAACAUGACGCUUAUAACUGCGCUGUGGCGGACAUGACGGCUCACAGCUCCUCAGAAGCGCCGUGAGCUGUCCAGUGAGGGGAUGGUUUCAUGAUCAAAUCUUCAUUUACCGUCCACAUUAUCAGAUGAGGACGUCACCAAAGAGUGUCCUUUGAGUCGAUGUUUACAUUUAUGUACAGAUUAUUAAGAACAUUUAGUUUAUUGUAAAAUGCUAAUUAUUUUCUCCUGCCACCUUUGACAUAGUCAUCCAAUUUGGAUGGAACAACUUCGUGACCUUAAUGACACCCAGCAACACGGUGAGAUUAUAAUCCAUUUAAAUGCAAGAAGCAUGACAUUUUUUAAGAUGUUUUUCCUUUAUUUGUGUUAGAGACUUUCAAAGCACCACAGGGGAGGAUCUGCAGCAAAGGACCCACCGGAAAUCAAACCUUGGCCGCUAUGAUGACGACAACAUGAGGCACUUAAGUGUGAAUCUAGCCUUUUCAUUUUGAUUUACAACCUUGGCAUUGAAAAGAGCAAAAGUUGAUGCUUGAGAUGAUUUUGUUUUUACUGAAGAGGAUGUAUGUCCUCCCCUUGUCCUUUAUCUCCUUACUCUUUCUUUUUAGGUGUGACUACGACUACCAGCAUGAACCUCAACACCUUCUUUGCUGUUCCACUAGUGUGACCCAUGAUCGGAUACAAGUUGUCAAGGAUAAACGGUGAGAGAAUCAUGUCAGCCCACAGACAACCGGUUGACCUGUGAGUCUUCAAGCAGUAAUGAUGACUACGCCUGCCUUAAGUUCCAGUUUCCUGAACAUCAUGGCAUGUCUGCAGGAGAUUCGGUCCCCACCUGUCUUCAGUCUGGACCUAAUGACUCAGACACCAGUCUUGUCGAGGCUAAAUCGAGAGAGGAUCACCUAAUGUCAACAUACGAGUUUUCAAGAAGAACUUCCUGAACUUUGUGUCCGUGUGAGACUCUACCAUGCUGGGUGCCCUCUUCAGUCAAGUCUGGACACAGAGACUCAUUGCUCUUCAUCAACUCUGGGCAAGUGGCUAAUCUUUUGCUUAUUCAUGGGAUAUCCUUCAUGUCCACAUCCUGUUUCUUCAAGAUCUCAACAAUGCUUUGUGAGUAUACAACACAUGUGAGUGGAUCAGUUCAACCUGUUUUUCACAGAAUGUUAGUUUCUUAAGGUUUUCAUCAACGAUGGUUUGUAUCUUGUUUUCCAAAAGGUGUUAUUAAGAUAUUUCCAUUUGUAAUUUACAAUAAUCAAAUGUUGACUGUAAAAUCUAUGCCAACCUAUUGUUAUACACUGUACCAUGUUUUUGCAAAGGAAUUCUGGUGACUUUAGUUGCCAGCAACUUCCUUUGAACUUUGUAAUAAAGUUUACAGUAUAACUGUUGUUUUUACAAAACUUACUGUCAUGUCUUGUAUGUUCACCGUUAAUUGGAACUUUUCAAUAAAGUACCAUAAUAUAUUA
This is a long non-coding RNA of Pseudoliparis swirei, 2093 nucleotides long. RefSeq lists it as uncharacterized. NCBI's taxonomy places the organism in Eukaryota, Metazoa, Chordata, Actinopteri, Perciformes, Liparidae. The record is from RefSeq and is a predicted model, not a curated record. The transcript has 3 exons.